UCGGUCUCUCGAAAUUGAGUCUCCUUGAUUACGAGGAACCCAACGGCCUGACGGUAAGACCCUACGCUA
RNAcentral lists this ribosomal RNA (69 nucleotides) under uncultured marine microorganism. Its description in RNAcentral is "partial large subunit ribosomal RNA". The record is from RNAcentral.